This 730-nucleotide ribosomal RNA is filed under the name bacterium N53. RNAcentral's name for it is "bacterial SSU rRNA". It matches the Rfam family "Bacterial small subunit ribosomal RNA", at positions 771 to 1501 of the family's 1533-position model. The record is from RNAcentral.
AACAGGAUUAGAUACCCUGGUAGUCCACGCCGUAAACGAUGUCGACUUGGAGGUUGUUCCCUUGAGGAGUGGCUUCCGGAGCUAACGCGUUAAGUCGACCGCCUGGGGAGUACGGCCGCAAGGUUAAAACUCAAAUGAAUUGACGGGGGCCCGCACAAGCGGUGGAGCAUGUGGUUUAAUUCGAUGCAACGCGAAGAACCUUACCUACUCUUGACAUCCAGAGAACUUGGCAGAGAUGCCUUGGUGCCUUCGGGAACUCUGAGACAGGUGCUGCAUGGCUGUCGUCAGCUCGUGUUGUGAAAUGUUGGGUUAAGUCCCGCAACGAGCGCAACCCUUAUCCUUUGUUGCCAGCGAUUCGGUCGGGAACUCAAAGGAGACUGCCGGUGAUAAACCGGAGGAAGGUGGGGAUGACGUCAAGUCAUCAUGGCCCUUACGAGUAGGGCUACACACGUGCUACAAUGGCGCAUACAAAGAGAAGCGACCUCGCGAGAGCAAGCGGACCUCAUAAAGUGCGUCGUAGUCCGGAUCGGAGUCUGCAACUCGACUCCGUGAAGUCGGAAUCGCUAGUAAUCGUGGAUCAGAAUGCCACAGUGAAUACGUUCCCGGGCCUUGUACACACCGCCCGUCACACCAUGGGAGUGGGUUGCAAAAGAAGUAGGUAGCUUAACCUUCGGGAGGGCGCUUACCACUUUGUGAUUCAUGACUGGGGUGAAGUCGUAACAAGGUAACC